Molecule: long non-coding RNA, 587 nt
Organism: Capra hircus (goat)
Lineage: Eukaryota; Metazoa; Chordata; Mammalia; Artiodactyla; Bovidae
Exons: 4
Source: RefSeq, a predicted model, not a curated record
GGCGGGCGGGCGCGGCUCCGGGCGGUGCGCUGUCCCCGCGGCCCUGCUCGAGGCCCGGGCCGCCGGGACCCAGCUCGCAGGCCCCAGGAGCCCACUGUCCUCCGCGUGGGAAAGUCCUAGACCAGGUGGCCUAAUGACGGAUUCUGCAGAAGUGAAAGGCAAAAAGGGCCCUGGGACAGAGCCCGCACAGGAGCCCUCAGCGUCCAGCCGCUGCUGUCCGAGCAAUGCUGGAAGAGCCUCCGGGCCUCCCUGAGCCCCACGUGCCCGGCUCCGCUGCAAGCAAAAAAUAUUAGAGCUGAUCCCAAGUUACUUCAAAUGUGAAACAAGCCAAAUCAGAAAAAGAGCAGUUUGGAGAGAGAGAUGUCGCUGGUUAAGACCGGGCAGAAGUUUACGGUCAAGGCGGCUUGCCAGGGCCUUACGGAGCAUCGACCGGAGCCCCCUGGGCUGUGUGGCGGCCUGCAUGAGUUGCCUGGUUGACGUGGACCGUCUCCAGCGGCUUCAGUCGUUUCCCGCUCCGUGCGACCCUAUGGACUGUAGCCCGCCAGGAUUUUCCUGGCAAGAAUGCUGGAGUGGGUUGUUAAGCCCUC